RNAcentral lists this transfer RNA (95 nucleotides) under Bacillota bacterium. Its description in RNAcentral is "Firmicutes bacterium (anaerobic digester metagenome) tRNA-Ser". It matches the Rfam family "tRNA". From Rfam's summary of the family: Transfer RNA (tRNA) molecules are approximately 80 nucleotides in length. Their secondary structure includes four short double-helical elements and three loops (D, anti-codon, and T loops). Lineage: Bacteria; Bacillati; Bacillota. RNAcentral also lists the same sequence under 1 other name. The record is from RNAcentral.
GGAGAGAUGGCCGAGAGGUCGAAGGCGAUCGCCUGCUAAGCGAUUAAGCGGGUAAAAAACCUGCUUCGAGGGUUCGAAUCCCUCUCUCUCCGCCA